RNAcentral lists this ribosomal RNA (440 nucleotides) under uncultured bacterium. RNAcentral describes it as "partial 16S ribosomal RNA". It matches the Rfam family "Bacterial small subunit ribosomal RNA", at positions 338 to 795 of the family's 1533-position model. The record is from RNAcentral.
CCUACGGGCGGCAGCAGUGGGGAAUAUUGCACAAUGGGGGAAACCCUGAUGCAGCAACGCCGCGUGAGUGAAGAAGUAUUUCGGUAUGUAAAGCUCUAUCAGCAGGGAAGAAGAUGACGGUACCUGAGUAAUAAGCCCCGGCUAAAUACGUGCCAGCAGCCGCGGUAAUACGUAGGGGGCAAGCGUUAUCCGGAUUUACUGGGUGUAAAGGGAGCGCAAACGGUGAGACAAGUCUGAAGUGAAAGCCCGGGGCUCAACCCCGGGAUUGCUUUGGAAACUGCCUGACUUGAGUGCUGAAGAGGAGAGCGGAAUUCCUAGUGUAGCGGUGAAAUGCGUAGAUAUUAGGAGGAACACCAGUGGCGAAGGCGGCUUACUGGACUGUAAAUGACGCUGAGGCUCGAAAGCGUGGGGAGCAAACAGGAUUAGAUACCCUAGUAGUC